GACGAACGCUGGCGGCGUGCCUAAUACAUGCAAGUAGAACGCACAGUUUAUACCGUAGCUUGCUACACCAUAGACUGUGAGUUGCGAACGGGUGAGUAACGCGUAGGUAACCUGCCUGGUAGCGGGGGAUAACUAUUGGAAACGAUAGCUAAUACCGCAUAAUAUUGAUUAUUGCAUGAUAAUUAAUUGAAAGGUGCAAUUGCACCACUACCAGAUGGACCUGCGUUGUAUUAGCUAGUAGGUGAGGUAACGGCUCACCUAGGCGACGAUACAUAGCCGACCUGGGAGGGUGAUCGGCCACACUGGGACUGGGACACGGCCCAGACUCCUACGGGAGGCAGCAGUAGGGAAUCUUCGGCAAUGGACGAAAGUCUGACCGAGCAACGCCGCGUGAGUGAAGAAGGUUUUCGGAUCGUAAAGAUCUGUUGUAAGAGAAGAACGGGUGUGAGAGUGGAAAGUUCACGCUGUGACGGUAUCUUACCAGAAAGGGACGGCUAACUACGUC
Molecule: ribosomal RNA, 505 nt
Filed under: uncultured bacterium
Lineage: Bacteria
Description: partial 16S ribosomal RNA
Rfam family: Bacterial small subunit ribosomal RNA
Source: RNAcentral